UAAUGGUAUUCUUCUUAUUCGUAAAUUGUAUGUGGAAAAUCUUAUAUUCGAUUAUCAUUACAUGCGAAUUUGAAUUAUAUUACAUCUAGCCAUUAUUAUUAUUAUCAAAACAUGUUCUGUCUCUUCUCACAUACUAAACGUACUUUUGAUGAUAGAUAAUAUUAUUUAUUCCAGCAACAAAAAAAGAAAAAAAGAAGAAGAAUUAAGAUGUAAAAAGUGGUAGAAACCCAUUUUCUUUCCUCCUCCCUCCUCCCUCCUCCUCUUUUGCACUGCAACAGGAGCCCAAUUAAACAGCAAGCCGACGACUGCCGAGUGCCAAGUGGACACAACAGCUCUGUCGUCCACGGGUCACCAAAGGCUCUCAAACUACACACCCAGAAUGCUCUUGCCGUCCUUUAUCCAAUCCCCAAGUUAGUUUCUAUAAAUUCGUAGGCGAUUUUCCUCAACUUCAAAUUUAAGAAACGGUGACCCAGGGUUUUCCGGCCAAUUUCCGGCCAAUUUCCGGCCAAUAUCGCCGGAAUUUGACCUCGACCCAAGAGGUAGAAAUGAUCCUCUUCUCGUGGGCUGUUCUCCAAUGUGGACACAAAAGUGAUUGCAAAUUAGAAACAUUAAUCUAAAGCAUACCUUGUCCA
This is a long non-coding RNA of Pyrus x bretschneideri (Chinese white pear), 632 nucleotides long. RefSeq lists it as uncharacterized. NCBI's taxonomy places the organism in Eukaryota, Viridiplantae, Streptophyta, Magnoliopsida, Rosales, Rosaceae. The transcript is spliced from 2 exons. The record is from RefSeq and is a predicted model, not a curated record.